Long non-coding RNA from Papaver somniferum (opium poppy), 1392 nucleotides. RefSeq lists it as uncharacterized. The transcript is spliced from 8 exons. NCBI's taxonomy places the organism in Eukaryota, Viridiplantae, Streptophyta, Magnoliopsida, Ranunculales, Papaveraceae. The record is from RefSeq and is a predicted model, not a curated record.
UCUCCUCUCUCGUUCUCCCCUGUGAGUUUUCCCUGUUUCUACCACCACCACCAUCGUUAUCACCAAGAUCAAAACCACACCCUUAUUGUCGUCGUCGAGGAAGAAAGGGUUUCUAACAGAUGGGGAUUUAGGCUUCAUGGAUUUGAAUUACAAAUGAAAAAGAUGAAAUUGAUGGUGAGAAACUAAAAGAAGAAGAUUGAGUUUGUGUUCUGAGAUUCGUGAAUAUCACAGGCGCCAUCCAAAUUCUCGUGUUUUGGAUGUAUACGAGGAGGCUGAGGAGUUGCUGAAAGAAGAACCACAUGUGGAGUUCAGUAGCGAGGAAGGUCAUGGACGGUACUUGGACUUGCAUGAGGUGUACAAUGAGUACAUUAAUUCUAAGUUUGCAGAGCGAAAUGAGAAAACAAAAGAACCAAUAAAGUAUUCUACGUAUCUGGAUAUGUUCUCCCAACCACAUAAAAUUUCAUGUAAACUAAAGCUAAGAAGGUAACUUUGCUGCAGUACAGUGCAUGAGUUAAUGGACCUGGGUAAGGACAUAUUAAAAGAGAAAGGAGGGCUCUUAAGUUUUGUCAAUAUUUCUCUGUUAGUGGGGGCACUAACCUUAAUUUUGAACUGGGGAAGUCUGGUUGAUUGAAAGCUUUAUUUUCUGUAACAGAGUCCAUCGAUCAAAGAUGCACAUUAUGUGGUUGCUGGUAAGCCCAAAAGAUUGCUAGUCAGUCACUUAAAAUUUCAGCUUAUAAUAUAUCUCAAUCACUUUUUUGUAGUCGAUACCUAGCUAGUGCAGGGGAAGAUCAAAUAAUGCAAAUGAUGGCAUCAUAUACUUUGUAUUGGCUUUUCAGUUUUUCCUCAGACCUGCUGGAAGAGAAAUCUGAAUUUAGAAUGUACUUCUGAAGUAUGGAGGCGAAGCUCUUGAUCUUAGAAAAAGACAAUCUUGUUCUUAGACAAAAGCAGUAACCACCCCACCUAAGAGCAAUCACCCCUUGAAAUGCUGCUGCAAAAGAAAGCCUUCUCAUAGACUUAGGAUUUUUAUUUCAGAUUUUUAGCAGCUUCAGUGGAAGUGCGCGUGCCACAUCUUGCUAGCACAUUGCUCUUGCUGGUUCCUCCAGUAGAAAUGCUUCACAACCCAUGUUGACAACUUAAACUUUAACCUUUGGGCAUGCCUCAUGCAGCAGAAAUGUUCACCUAGGUAGCUGGUUUCCUUAGUUCCAAAGAAUGUGAGAGUUCUUUUUUCUUUAAAUCGUUUUGUAAGAACCUUGGUAUGAUACUCAGUUUAUAGAUUCCUUCAUAUGAUUUUUUUGGUGUGCUUCAUACAUUUUGUGUACGAGUUCAUCAUGGUGAAUUAACUCUAAGAACACUAUCUUGAUACUGCUAUUGAUUAAUUUGAUUUCAAAUGAA